UACGUAGGGUGCAAGCGUUGUCCGGAAUUAUUGGGCGUAAAGAGCUCGUAGGCGGCUUGUCGCGUCGACUGUGAAAAACCCGCGGCUCAACUGCGGGGCUUGCAGCCGAUACGGGCAGGCUAGAGUUCGGUAGGGGAGACUGGAAUUCCUGGUGUAGCGGUGAAAUGCGCAGAUAUCAGGAGGAACACCGGUGGCGAAGGCGGAUCUCUGGGCCAUUACUGACGCUGAGGAGCGAAAGCGUGGGGAGCAAACAGG
This 255-nucleotide ribosomal RNA is filed under the name uncultured bacterium. RNAcentral's name for it is "partial 16S ribosomal RNA". It matches the Rfam family "Bacterial small subunit ribosomal RNA", at positions 524 to 776 of the family's 1533-position model. The record is from RNAcentral.